This 329-nucleotide unclassified non-coding RNA is filed under the name soil metagenome. Its description in RNAcentral is "partial contains 5.8S ribosomal RNA, internal transcribed spacer 2, and large subunit ribosomal RNA". The stretch from base 1 to 120 matches the Rfam family "5.8S ribosomal RNA", at positions 35 to 154 of the family's 154-position model. The record is from RNAcentral.
GAUGAAGAACUUAGCGAAAUGCGAUAAGUAAUGUGAAUUGCAGAAUUCAGUGAAUCAUCGAAUCUUUGAACGCACAUUGCGCCCCUUGGUAUUCCGAGGGGCAUGCCUGUUCGAGCGUCAUUAUAACCCCUCAAGCUCAGCUUGGUGUUGGGGCCUGCUGCACUGGCAGCCCUUAAAAUCAGUGGCGGCGCCAUCUGGCUCUAAGCGUAGUAAUUCUUCUCGCUAUGGAGUCCUGGUGGAUGCUUGCCAUCAACCCCCAAUUUUUCAAUGGUUGACCUCGGAUCAGGUAGGGAUACCCGCUGAACUUAAGCAUAUCAAUAAGCGGAGGA